AAAGACCUUAUGCUUUUGGAGCGGCCGAUGUCUGAUUAGCUAGUUGGUGAGGUAAAGGCUUACCAAGGCAACGAUCAGUAGUUGGUCUGAGAGGACGACCAGCCACACUGGGACUGAGACACGGCCCAGACUCCUACGGGAGGCAGCAGUGGGGAAUUUUGGACAAUGGGCGAAAGCCUGAUCCAGCAAUGCCGCGUGAGUGAAGAAGGCCUUCGGGUUGUAAAGCUCUUUCAGUUGAGAAGAAAAGGCUGUGACUAAUAAUCACAGCUCAUGACGGUAUCGACAGAAGAAGCACCGGCUAACUACGUGCCAGCAGCCGCGGUAAUACGUAGGGUGCAAGCGUUAAUCGGAAUUACUGGGCGUAAAGGGUGCGCAGGCGGUUCUGUAAGUCAGAUGUGAAAUCCCCGGGCUUAACCUGGGAACU
Molecule: ribosomal RNA, 424 nt
Filed under: uncultured Nitrosomonas sp.
Lineage: Bacteria; Pseudomonadati; Pseudomonadota; Betaproteobacteria; Nitrosomonadales; Nitrosomonadaceae
Description: bacterial SSU rRNA
Rfam family: Bacterial small subunit ribosomal RNA
Source: RNAcentral